This 80-nucleotide microRNA precursor is filed under the name Ovis aries (sheep). Its description in RNAcentral is "miRNA (ENSOARG00000021369.1)". The record is from RNAcentral. Lineage: Eukaryota; Metazoa; Chordata; Mammalia; Artiodactyla; Bovidae.
AUUGGGUUGGACAACAGGUUCAUUCUGGCUUUUCCAUAGCACCUUGUGGAAAACUGGAAUGAAUUUUUUGGUCAACAUAA